AUGCCCGGAGUUACUGUAAAAGACGUAAACACAUCAGGAGUUCGUCAGAGCUCUGGCAGUCUUCCUCAAAAAGUCCAAGAAGCUGAAAGAUCCCAAAUGGGUGGACACGGUCAAGCUGGUCAAGUAUAAAGAGCUUGCUCCCUGCGAUGAGAACUGGUUCUACAUGCGAGCUGCUUCCACAGCACAGCCCCUGUACCUUCGGGUCGGUGGUGCUGGGGUUGGCUCCAUGACCAAGAUCCACGGGGGACGAGGUCAGAGAAAAGGCAUCAUGAUGCCCAGCCACUUCUGCCGAGCCUCCAAGAGUGUAGCCCACCGGGUCCUUCAAACCCUGGAGGGGCUGAAAAUGGUGGAUAAGGACCAAGAUGGGGGCCGCAAACCGACACCUCAGGGACAGAGAGAUCUGGACAGAAUCUCCGGACAGGUGGCAGCUGCCAACAAGAAGCAUUAGCACAAACGAUGCUGGGUUAAUAAAUUGCCUCAUUCGUUUAAAAAAAAAAAAAAAAA
Carlito syrichta (Philippine tarsier) is the source of this 504-nucleotide RNA transcript. It is a transcript of the gene named 40S ribosomal protein S19 pseudogene, with no coding region annotated. The record is from RefSeq and is a predicted model, not a curated record. The transcript has a single exon. Lineage: Eukaryota; Metazoa; Chordata; Mammalia; Primates; Tarsiidae.